Molecule: long non-coding RNA, 759 nt
Filed under: Pan troglodytes (chimpanzee)
Lineage: Eukaryota; Metazoa; Chordata; Mammalia; Primates; Hominidae
Description: long non-coding RNA NONPTRT006022
Source: RNAcentral
CGCCGGUCCCUGGUCCCCCAGACCUCCAUUCAAGGUCAAAACUUUGCCCAGCUCAGCCUUGCUCGACCCUGGGCAGGGAAGCGCGGACAUCGGCAGAGGGAGCCCGAGGCUCUCCGUGCCCCUCGCGCCGCUCCCCAAAGAUGGAUAACACUAACAUAUAGUCAGUGGGAAAGAAAUCUCAGAAAAUAACUGUUAGUUUGUCACUGUCAUGGGAAAUGGGAAGGAAGAAAAACAGCACUUAUCAAGCAUCUUCUGUGUACAAACUGCCAUUUCAGACUCAGAGCAGUCCUUGAAGGUCAAGAACUGUGGAAUCUUUCAGAUGAUAUUCUGAUACUUCUGGACAAAGAUUGAAUUUGUUCUUCAUGAAAAAUGUCUGGGACCUUUUAUAUGGACGGGGAAUACCAACAUAGAGAUGGUCAAGAAAAUUUGCGCUCCGACCUAAACCAAGCACGUUGUAUGGUAGUUGGAGAGCUAAAUGUGCGGAUUGGCUGAGUUGGCCAGCUAGAGUUAUUCAAUUAAAAAAAAAUUAAAAACAUCUCUGGAAACAUUGCUCCCAUCAAAUAUUAAAAUGAUAAAAUGUUAAAAAUUUAGGUACUGGAAUGUAUCAUGUUUCAAACUGUGAAAUGAAACAUACAGGUCAUUAAUAUUCAUGUUCACUUUUUUCUUUUUUUGAGACAUGGUCUCACUCUGCCACCUAGGCUGCAGUGCAGUAGCACUGCACUGAGCCUUGACCUCUCAGGCCCAAGCUAUCCUCCUUCC